Long non-coding RNA from Suricata suricatta (meerkat), 1698 nucleotides. RefSeq lists it as uncharacterized. NCBI's taxonomy places the organism in Eukaryota, Metazoa, Chordata, Mammalia, Carnivora, Herpestidae. The record is from RefSeq and is a predicted model, not a curated record. The transcript has 3 exons.
CCCUCCCGUGCUCACACUCUCACUCUGUCUCUCAAAGAAAAAAUAAACUCAAAAAAAAAUUUUUAAUGCCUACCUGGCAAUGUGUUUCAGGUAGUGUGCUAAAAAUUAAAACAAAAAUUAAAAAAGAAGCUUUUGAGGAGCUCCCUCAGUCUACUUAAUUUGAGUGCUAAAAAGAAAAAAAAACAUGUCUGUUAUCUGCCUGAAAUGUCCUUGGUGGCUGCUAGGUGGGGACCUAGUGUGGGAUGCCGGCAGUGAGUGACAGAGGUGCCUGAGGCUGCAUCCCAGACAGCUCAGGGACAUGUUGAGUGUGGAGGGGCGGUGGCUUCCUCCCAGGGAACAGGCUCCUUCCAGCUUCUGUCUCUUAAUUGCUCCUGUCCUUGUCAUCAGAAGCUCUGCAUCGCUCUCCUGUGCUCCCUCCCUGCCUCGGCUGGGUUUGCACAUGUCUGUGCUGCUCCGGCAGCCCGGCUGCAGCUCUGACUCCCGGCCCCUCCGUAUCCUUGCAUCUGCUGCCUCCCGACCGCCUGCGGGGUGAGGGGCCAGUCCUAGCGGUCAGACAGGCGCCCUUGGAUUUCAAGGGCCCUGAGGUCAAGCUCAGAGCUGCCAGCAUAGCAAAAUAGUAUCUAUCUGGGUAGGUGACUGAAAAUUUUUCAUGGAUUUUGCUUUCUAUUUUAUCAAAUACUGUUUAAGAGGAACCGCUUUGAAAUUUUCACCAGCUAAAUGACAGCUUUGAACAUUGAAACUCGGGAAGAUGGUCCACGGCUGUCCUGUGAUCCAGGUUAGAAAAGGGCCCUUGAAGAAGCAGAUGCGCCAUCUCCAGAAGGCCAAUGGCGCCACCCUCAGGAAAAUGGUGACACCAGGCUCGCGGUUGGUGGCUGAAAUGUGGAUGUUUCUUCGUCAAGACUGAGGAUUGUGUUUCCGGGCACAGCAGAGUACAGAGGACCACAGUUCCCCCUGCCAGGCCCAACACCUGGGAUGACAACAGGUGCUCUGUGAAGUAAUAGAAGAAUUCCUGGACUUGAGUGCCCUCAUCCAGUCUCAACGAAGCCACUGUAACCUCCUGGGGAGGCAAGAAUCAUCACCUCCCGCUAGUCUCUGAGAGUGAAAAGGGGUUACUGCCCUGCAGGCUACAUCAUUGGGGUUGGAUUAAAUCAAAUAAGAAAUAUGAAGCUACACUGAACACACCAAAGCGUGACGUUAGGCAGGCUGACAGAACAUGUGGGCGGUAUAGGACAGUGAGUGUUCCUGAGCUGUCACCAAAGAGAGUGGCCUCUCAUGUGUACCAUUGGUGCUGCUCCACAGGGCAUCUGUUCCCAACACAUACCUCCAACCCGGGAGUGCUCCUUCUCAUCCAAGAGAACCGAAUGAAACACCUUGCCCAGGCACUACCAGAUGUCAGACACCAUGUAGAGAAUCAAGAGAACAAAGAUGCAGGAAAGAGGGAAGCCAAGUCCAGGUUUAAUAAAUGUCUGCAGGAAUUUUGCAGAAUGCAUUGGAAACAUCCCACGAUGGUGAAAAUCCGUUGAUUAAAAACUUAACCCUCAGCCAUAAGAAGGAAUGGAACUUUGACAUGUGCUACAACAUGGAAGUCAUUAUGCUGAGUGAAAUCAGCCAGACACAAAAGGACAAAUGCUGUAUGAUCCCACUUAUAUGAGGUAGCUGGAAUAGGCAAUUCCUAGAGGCAGAAAGUAGAAUAGUUAC